GACGAACGCUGGCGGCGCGCCUAACACAUGCAAGUCGAACGAGAGAUGAAGAGCUUGCUCUUCAAAUCGAGUGGCGAACGGGUGAGUAACGCGUGAGGAACCUGCCUCAAAGAGGGGGACAACAGUUGGAAACGACUGCUAAUACCGCAUAAGCCCACGGCUCGGCAUCGAGCAGGGGGAAAAGGGGCAAUCCGCUUUGAGAUGGCCUCGCGUCCGAUUAGCUAGUUGGUGAGGUAACGGCCCACCAAGGCGACGAUCGGUAGCCGGACUGAGAGGUUGAACGGCCACAUUGGGACUGAGACACGGCCCAGACUCCUACGGGAGGCAGCAGUGGGGAAUAUUGCACAAUGGGGGAAACCCUGAUGCAGCGACGCCGCGUGGAGGAAGAAGGUCUUCGGAUUGUAAACUCCUGUUGUUGAGGAAGAUAAUGACGGUACUCAACAAGGAAGUGACGGCUAACUACGUGCCAGCAGCCGCGGUAAAACGUAGGUCACAAGCGUUGUCCGGAAUUACUGGGUGUAAAGGGAGCGCAGGCGGGAGAACAAGUUGGAAGUGAAAUCCAUGGGCUCAACCCAUGAACUGCUUUCAAAACUGUUUUUCUUGAGUAGUGCAGAGGUAGGCGGAAUUCCCGGUGCAGCGGUGGAAUGCGUAGAUAUCGGGAGGAACACCAGUGGCGAAGGCGGCCUACUGGGCACCAACUGACGCUGAGG
RNAcentral lists this ribosomal RNA (710 nucleotides) under uncultured Lachnospiraceae bacterium. Its description in RNAcentral is "bacterial SSU rRNA". It matches the Rfam family "Bacterial small subunit ribosomal RNA", at positions 28 to 751 of the family's 1533-position model. Lineage: Bacteria; Bacillati; Bacillota; Clostridia; Lachnospirales; Lachnospiraceae. The record is from RNAcentral.